ACGGAGGGUGCAAGCGUUAAUCGGAAUUACUGGGCGUAAAGCGCUCGUAGGCGGCUAUUUAAGUCGGAUGUGAAAGCCCCGGGCUCAACCUGGGAACUGCAUUCGAUACUGGAUAGCUAGAGUAUAGAAGAGGCAAGUGGAAUUCCGGGUGUAGCGGUGAAAUGCGUAGAUAUCCGGAGGAACAUCAGUGGCGAAGGCGACUUGCUGGUCUAAUACUGACGCUGAGGAGCGAAAGCGUGGGGAGCAAACGGG
RNAcentral lists this ribosomal RNA (252 nucleotides) under uncultured bacterium. RNAcentral describes it as "partial 16S ribosomal RNA". It matches the Rfam family "Bacterial small subunit ribosomal RNA", at positions 525 to 776 of the family's 1533-position model. The record is from RNAcentral.